AGCUUGUCAGUGAUGUUUCUUCAAAAAAAUGUCUGAACAUAUGAAUUCAUAACUGAUUUCAUCUUGUAACUGAGAUAAGCU
This is a small nucleolar RNA of Euleptes europaea (tarantolino), 81 nucleotides long. RefSeq annotates it as small nucleolar RNA SNORD72. The transcript has a single exon. Lineage: Eukaryota; Metazoa; Chordata; Lepidosauria; Squamata; Sphaerodactylidae. The record is from RefSeq and is a predicted model, not a curated record.